RNAcentral lists this unclassified non-coding RNA (504 nucleotides) under Alternaria sp. 1 DT-2021. Its description in RNAcentral is "sequence contains ITS1, 5.8S rRNA gene, ITS2". The stretch from base 228 to 381 matches the Rfam family "5.8S ribosomal RNA". Lineage: Eukaryota; Fungi; Ascomycota; Dothideomycetes; Pleosporales; Pleosporaceae. The record is from RNAcentral.
UAUGAAAGCAGGCUGGAGUCCCCAUAAGUACAGUGCUUUGCCUCUUGCGUCCGCCACAACUGUGGUGCUGACGCGACUUUGGUAGGCGUAUUUCUGGCCAGUCUGUCUGAAUUAUUCACCCGUGUCUUUUGCGUACUUCUUGUUUCCUUGGUGGGCUCGCCCACCAUAAGGACAUUCAUCAACCUUUUUGUAGUUGCAAUCAGCGUCAGUAAAACAAUAAUAAUUACAACUUUCAACAACGGAUCUCUUGGUUCUGGCAUCGAUGAAGAACGCAGCGAAAUGCGAUAAGUAGUGUGAAUUGCAGAAUUCAGUGAAUCAUCGAAUCUUUGAACGCACAUUGCGCCCUUUGGUAUUCCAAAGGGCAUGCCUGUUCGAGCGUCAUUUGUACCCUCAAGCUUUGCUUGGUGUUGGGCGUUUUGUCUCCAGUCCGCUGGAGACUCGCCUUAAAAUCAUUGGCAGCCGGGCUACUGGUUUCGGAGCGCAGCACAAAUUGCACUUCUUCCA